UACAGGGGGUGCAAACGUUGCUCGGAAUCAUUGGGCGUAAAGCGCACGUAGGCGGACUCUUAAGUCGGUGGUGAAAUCCUGGAGCUCAACUCCAGAACUGCCUUCGAUACUGAGAGUCUUGAGUCCGGGAGAAGGUGAGUGGAACUGCGAGUGUAGAGGUGAAAUUCGUAGAUAUUCGCAAGAACACCAGUGGCGAAGGCGGCUCACUGGCCCGGUACUGACGCUGAGGUGCGAAAGCGUGGGGAGCAAACAGG
Molecule: ribosomal RNA, 254 nt
Filed under: uncultured bacterium
Lineage: Bacteria
Description: partial 16S ribosomal RNA
Rfam family: Bacterial small subunit ribosomal RNA
Source: RNAcentral